Molecule: ribosomal RNA, 462 nt
Filed under: uncultured bacterium
Lineage: Bacteria
Description: SSU rRNA
Rfam family: Bacterial small subunit ribosomal RNA
Source: RNAcentral
AGAAUCAACGCUGGCGGCGUGCCUAACACAUGCAAGUCGCACGAGAAAGGGUAGCAAUACCUGAGUAAAGUGGCGCACGGGUGAGUAACACGUGAAUUAUCUACCUCCGAGUGGGGGAAUAACUGAGAGAAAUCUUAGCUAAUACCGCAUAACACUUACGAGUCAAAGCAGCAAUGCGCUUGGAGAGGAGUUCGCGGCAGAUUAGUUAGUUGGCGGGGUAAUGGCCCACCAAGACGAUGAUCUGUAUCCGGCCUGAGAGGGCGCACGGACACACUGGAACUGAAACACGGUCCAGACUCCUACGGGAGGCAGCAGUGGGGAAUUUUGCGCAAUGGGGGAAACCCUGACGCAGCAACGCCGCGUGGAGGAUGAAAUAUCUUGGUAUGUAAACUCCUUUCGAUGGGGAAGAUUAUGACGGUACCCAGUAGAAGAAGCCCCGGCUAACUUCGCGCCAGCAGCCGC